AUCCCUUCGCAGUGGCAGUAUCGUAGCCUAUGAGGUCAAUCCGAGGCGUGAUUAUUGCUAGUUGAAACUUUAAUUAAUUCCCACUUGGACGACCUGAAACAGUAAUGCAAUGGCAAUUUUUGAUGGUUUUUAUGGAGA
Molecule: small nuclear RNA, 138 nt
Organism: Hippoglossus stenolepis (Pacific halibut)
Lineage: Eukaryota; Metazoa; Chordata; Actinopteri; Pleuronectiformes; Pleuronectidae
Product: U4 spliceosomal RNA
Exons: 1
Source: RefSeq, a predicted model, not a curated record